This 370-nucleotide ribosomal RNA is filed under the name Metallyticus fallax. RNAcentral's name for it is "partial 12S ribosomal RNA". The record is from RNAcentral. Lineage: Eukaryota; Metazoa; Arthropoda; Insecta; Mantodea; Metallyticidae.
AUACCCUAUUAUUUUUAAUGUGAGUAAAUUAAACUUGAGUAUUAAUAGUUAAGAUCUUGAAACUCAAAGAAUUUGGCGGUAUUAAAGUCUGGUUAGAGGAAUCUGUUAUGUGAUCGAUAGUCCACGUUGAACCUUACUUAAUUAUGGUUUUGUAUAUCGCUGUUUAGAAAAUAUUAUAAGAUUAAUUUACUUAAUAUUUAGUUUAGUAAUAAUUCAAGUCAAGGUGCAGUAAUGAUUAAGUUUAAUAAUGGAUUACAAUAAAUUUUAUUUAUAUGGAUUGUCAGUGAAAUAUAGAUUUGAAGGUGGAUUUAAUUGUAAUUUUUUGAAGAUUAUUAAGAUGAAUAAGCUCUAUAAUAUGCACACAUCGCCC